Molecule: ribosomal RNA, 271 nt
Filed under: uncultured bacterium
Lineage: Bacteria
Description: partial 16S ribosomal RNA
Rfam family: Bacterial small subunit ribosomal RNA
Source: RNAcentral
UACGUAGGGUGCAAGCGUUAAUCGGAAUUACUGGGCGUAAAGCGCGCGUAGGUGGUUCGUUAAGUUGGAUGUGAAAGCCCCGGGCUCAACCUGGGAACUGCAUCCAAAACUGGCGAGCUAGAGUACGGUAGAGGGUGGUGGAAUUUCCUGUGUAGCGGUGAAAUGCGUAGAUAUAGGAAGGAACACCAGUGGCGAAGGCGACCACCUGGACUGAUACUGACACUGAGGUGCGAAAGCGUGGGGAGCAAACAGGAUUAGAUACCCCGGUAGU